CAGUCGCCACGGUAAUACGUAGGGUGCGAGCGUUAAUCGGAAUUACUGGGCGUAAAGCGUGCGCAGGCGGUUGUGUAAGACAGGUGUGAAAUCCCCGGGCUUAACCUGGGAACUGCGCUUGUGACUGCACAGCUAGAGUAUGGCAGAGGGGGGUGGAAUUCCACGUGUAGCAGUGAAAUGCGUAGAGAUGUGGAGGAACACCGAUGGCGAAGGCAGCCCCCUGGGCCAAUACUGACGCUCAUGCACGAAAGCGUGGGGAGCAAACAGGAUUAGAUACCCGUGUAGUCCCUGUCUCUUUACA
This 301-nucleotide ribosomal RNA is filed under the name uncultured bacterium. Its description in RNAcentral is "partial 16S ribosomal RNA". It matches the Rfam family "Bacterial small subunit ribosomal RNA", at positions 509 to 808 of the family's 1533-position model. The record is from RNAcentral.